GCUUAUCAAGGAGCAUACAGAAGAUGAGAUGGAAUAUGAAAGAAGAAAGCGAGAGAGAAGACAUAAGUGUGGGGGAUGUUCAUAGCUGAUGACAUGGUGACAAAGAGAUGUGCACUACAGGGCAAAGUGCAUGUGGUCGUUGUCCUGCAAAUGAAUGAGCACAGAAGAAGUUAAAAGUUAUCUAAUUACUUGUAUGUUCAUACAUUUCAUGUGCAUAAUUAAAAAUAAAUUAUAAAGUCUGGAAGAAACCUGAAA
Long non-coding RNA from Ficedula albicollis (Collared flycatcher), 255 nucleotides. RefSeq lists it as uncharacterized. The record is from RefSeq and is a predicted model, not a curated record. NCBI's taxonomy places the organism in Eukaryota, Metazoa, Chordata, Aves, Passeriformes, Muscicapidae. The transcript has 2 exons.